UAGCGAAAUUCCUUGUCGGGUAAGUUCCGACCUGCACGAAUGGCGUAACGACUUCCCCACUGUCUCGACCAGGAGCUCGGCGAAAUUGCAGUACGAGUAAAGAUGCUCGUUAAGCGCAGAAGGACGAAAAGACCCCGGGACCUUUACUAUACCUUGGUAUUGGCAUUCGGUGUGGAUUGUGUAGCAUAGGCGGGAGGCCGAGAGGCGCGGUCGCCAGAUCGCGUGGAGCCGCAAGGUGAAAUACCGCUCUGUUCGCAUUGGAUGUCUAACCUCGAACGGUCAUCCUGUUCAGGGACAGUGCCUGGCGGGUAGUUUAACUGGGGCGGUUGCCUCCCAAAGAGUAACGGAGGCGCCCAAAGGUCCGCUCAGCCCGGUUGGCAAUCGGGUGGCGAGUGCAAGUGCACAAGCGGGCUUGACUGCGAGGACGACGGUCCGAGCAGGGACGAAAGUCGGGACUAGUGAUCCGGUGCCGGUGUACGGACGCGGCAUCGCUCAACGGAUAAAAGGUACCCCGGGGAUAACAGGCUGAUCAUUCCCAAGAGUCCAUAUCGACGGGAUGGUUUGGCACCUCGAUGUCGGCUCGUCGCAUCCUGGGGCUGGAGCAGGUCCCAAGGGUUCGGCUGUUCGCCGAUUAAAGCGGCACGCGAGCUGGGUUCAGAACGUCGUGAGACAGUUUGGUCUCUAUCCUCUGCGCUCGUUGGAAUGCUGAGGAGGCCUGCCCAUAGUACGAGAGGACCUGGGUGGACGAACCUCUGGUAUGCCGGUUGUCACGCCAGUGGCACGGCCGGUUGGCUACGUUCGGGAGGGAUAACCGCUGAAAGCAUCUAAGCGGGAAGCCUGCUCCAAGAUAAGCAUUCCGUGCAGCCUCGAGCUGCUGUAGUCCCCAUGCAGAACACGUGGUCGAUAGGCCGGACGUGGAAGCCCCGCGAGGGGUGGAGCCGACCGGUACUAACGGACGAAAGGCAACACAAC
RNAcentral lists this ribosomal RNA (972 nucleotides) under human gut metagenome. RNAcentral describes it as "bacterial LSU rRNA". It matches the Rfam family "Bacterial large subunit ribosomal RNA", at positions 1957 to 2925 of the family's 2925-position model. The record is from RNAcentral.